RNAcentral lists this ribosomal RNA (161 nucleotides) under Staphylococcus aureus. RNAcentral describes it as "partial 16S ribosomal RNA". It matches the Rfam family "Bacterial small subunit ribosomal RNA", at positions 1 to 155 of the family's 1533-position model. Lineage: Bacteria; Bacillati; Bacillota; Bacilli; Caryophanales; Staphylococcaceae. The record is from RNAcentral.
UUUUAUGGAGAGUUUGAUCCUGGCUCAGGAUGAACGCUGGCGGCGUGCCUAAUACAUGCAAGUCGAGCGAACGGAUGAGAAGCUUGCUUCUCUGAUGUUAGCGGCGGACGGGUGAGUAACACGUGGAUAACCUACCUAUAAGACUGGGAUAACUUCGGGAA